This 11727-nucleotide long non-coding RNA is filed under the name Capsicum annuum. RNAcentral's name for it is "long non-coding RNA (CANN_LNC009746)". The record is from RNAcentral. Lineage: Eukaryota; Viridiplantae; Streptophyta; Magnoliopsida; Solanales; Solanaceae.
GGGGUUGGAUCUUUGAAGUCGAGAAAAUUAGGAGGGGGUCAGAAUUUUGGGGUGGUCUUUUGAAGGUUCAAAAAGAGGGAAAUCUUCUGAGGGAGGUUCUGAUUUGAAAAUAGAGUAAGGAAAAUAUUUUAGAGUUUCUAAAUGUAGGUUGAAAAUUUCAGUCGAAAGUCUCGGGGGUUUCAAAGUUUCUUUAGGCGUAAAGGUAAAAGACGCUUUGUUGGUGGUCGAUGUCAUGAGAUUCUGAUACCAAUAAGUGUGCUGAUAGCUCGCCGUCAUAUUUUUGCUGCGUCAAAGGAGUUGGCAGGUCAAUCGGAGCUUCUUGAGUUGAUGACGCUAAGUUUUGAUGGUGGCGUCUUUUGGUGUUUGUUUCCUCGUCUCAUUUUGCUACUCUCGUAAAGGUAAUAUCAUACACCAUUUUAAUUUUUCGACUGCUUCUUCUUCAUCUCAUCAUUCUAUAGUAGAAAAUUAUUAUUCUAAUAAUCCUGUGUUGGGUGUUCGUUGUAUAUUGUUGAUUGAUUUUCGGUUGAAUGCUCUUAUUUUGUGUGUUGCUUAAGUUUUGUAUGGUUAAUCCCGUUAAAGUUUCAUGCUUUAACAUUUUUUUGGGGGAUAGCAUUUUGUUAGGUCUGGCUUUUACAUUAAAGUUCUGUGCCUUGGAUUUUGUUUCGAGUAACCAAUAUCCUGUUGAGGUUAGUUUCGUUGUUUAAAGUUCCAUGCUUUGAUCCUGUUUUGGGUUGUCUGAAUUUUGUUAAAACUAGUUUCAUAGUAAACUUUUGUGUUUUGGUUUGGUCUAAUAAGUUUCAGGUUGUUAGAAUCUUGUUUACCUGAUUUCUAUGGUUAAAGUUUCGCACUGCGAUUUUGUUCAAUACAUUUUGAGCUGCUAAAUGUUAUUUACCUGUUAACCCUGCUCCCUUUGUUAUGGAAUUGCAAAGUUUGAAUCUUUGCUUCCUUUUGGAGCUUGUUUCAAGUCGGUAUUUCGUUUGUUUGAUCCCCAAAGGUAAUGUAAUUAUCUUAUUGAAAAAAAUGGGUAGGGUCCCUUCAAUAUUGUAUUUGAGUCUGAAUGAUAUUGUAUAAUGAAAAUAUGAGCUUGACUUGGAAAUGAUCUAAUUUAUGAACAUCCUUCGCAUUUUUUUCGGAGCCUGAAUGUUUAAAUUUUGAGGUUAUAAUAUGAGAAAAGAUUAUUUUUGACCAUUAAGAGAAAUGAGUCUUCCGUUAUGUGUUUGGGAUUCCCCGUGUUUCAUUCUUGGUGUUUUAUAUAGUGUUCUGACAAUGUGUUUGAUGUCAAUUAUUUGGGUGGAUUGCUAGUGUUGGUGAAAGUUCCUCAACUCAUUAAUUAAUAUGAAAGAAUUUAAGCAGGUGGCAGUGCAUUUGAUGUAAGGGAAAUUCUCCCUCUUUGCUCAAGCUAAUUUCUUUGAUUACCUCUCCAUGGUCCGAUAUUUUGAGUUUUCUAUUUAUUAUUUUCCAACUAAUCUUAUAGGAUUUUGAGGGUACGUAUAGGGAGGAUUUUGACUCAGCAUGUUAUUUGCCUAUAUGAACGCACCCUCACACUUCUCAUUAGCCUUGUGGCUUUGCUGUGACUGACUAGGAGUUAGAUCACUCUGUGAUGUCUUUCCUUCAGAUAGUCAUAUGUUAUGUAUCUUAUUUUUUUAUUUUUUUUUAUUUAUUUCCUUGGUUAAAUGUUUGUGUUUUUCUCCUUUAGCUCCCUUUUUCCUUUUCUUUCUUAGUUGAUCACAUAUUAAUGGUCAUUACUUUCUUGCUUUGCAUGAACCCGCUUGAGAGUCCAAAUGGACUUUUUCCCUGGCAUUUCACAGUGGGCUAUGGAGGCUCACCCUUUAGGAGACUUUGCAAAGAAAAUUGCAUGGCAUACAGAUACAUGGAGUCGGAAGAGGAAAAUGGGUCAAAGUCCCAUCAUUGAAGCGACCAAGAGUCUUAGAAGUCUCAUUCCCUUAUUAGUUUAUUUCUUAUUAUAUAUAUUCAUUUAUUUCCCUAUUUAUUCUUUUGUGCCUCGAAGCCAAAGUUGUAAAUUUAAUACAGGUGGAGUGAGACUCGAGCUAAAGGCUCGAAAACAUAGAAUCAGGACAGGUACAAAUGGGUCAAAAGCCCAACUAGAUUAGGACAGGGUCGACGGUUUGGGCUUAAAAGCCUAAAUCAUUACUUUCCCGCUUUUUCACUUUUCAUUUACUUGUUUGCUUGUCUCUUUGAGAACCUAGUUAAAUCCCUAAGUAAGUCGCUAAAAAAUUGAUUUCACAAAAUCCUUUUCCUUAAUCAAAUUCUUUUUCAACAAACCGAUUUUCCAAAGUUAAUCAAAAGAUGAUUUUCAAACGUUCUGGAUAACCGCAAGUUAGCGGACGUUUUAGGUACCUAACACCUUCUAAAAACGUUAAUAAGAACAGCUUACUUAGAAUCUCUUAACUUAAAUGAUUUUUUUAUUUUAGAUCGUUUAAAGUGUUUUAUAAAGGUUUCUUGAUUCCUUUUCAAAAUUAAGUGGUGACUCUCUUUCAAAAAUAUAAAAUUUCUCCGCAAAACAGAAAUGGCGACUCUGCUGGGGAUUUAUAACUAGGUUCUAACCAAAUAAUUGAUUUCGUCUUUUGAUUAAAUAUUUAUGUGUUCCAAUUAUGUAAAGUUUAAUUAUCGCAUCUCAUGGCAUAUUCCUACAUCUUAUAAACUGUUUUGGGGUUUUGUGCGGCCCCUGUUGUUCAAUUCCAAAAUGUGUUGGAAAUACCAACAACUUAUCAGCACGUGAGCCGUCUGACGUUGUUCGCAUUUUUAAACUCAAGUUGUCCGCUUGAGAACUAAUGUUCAAACCCACUCUAGACACCUAGGAUAGAACGAAACCAAAACCCUAUUUUAGGCAUGAGCCUAGGACGAACCAAUACCCGAGUGAGGUAUUGGGCCCAUUAGAAUACCUCCCUACGUCUAUUGAUCCCGAGUCCAUUAUAGACAAACCAUAUUUAUGUGUUGAAGAAAAUGUAUGCCUGUCUAAUUCAAUCCAUUAUUCUUUGUGGGUCGGGAAAAAGCUUGAUUUGCUUACUUUUGUAAGAAGAAUUGAAGCAAGUUAAGCGAGAAAUUGAUCGAUUUGGGAGGUUUCAUCUAAGGAACAAUUUGAGCGCCGACGGAUGUCACCAAUAAGAGAAGUGUACAAGGCAAAGAAUGUAAAAUCGAACGAAGGAGCCUCCACUAGCUAAUCUUUCUAUUCUCCCCUGCACGGGAACUUAUCUUCUUUCAUAUUAUUUUUUUUUCCUAAAGAUUGUAUCCCUAUUUUGAUAUAUUUUGUAGGCAUUUAUGCCCUUUUCGUGUCUAUAUGAGUUGGGGGUUAAUGGAUUGACUUUGAGAAAGCACUUAUUUUCUUCAAAAAAUCAUUAGGCCUGAUCCCUUGGCUCAAAAAGGGUCACCCCAACUAGGAUACGCGUCAUUAUAAUGUUUUGUGUAAUAUAACUGUUUUAUGUGCUUAUGUGCGUUUGUUGAGAUCAAAGGCAAGUUUAUCCACUAUGUCCUACGGAUGAAUUUGACUAUAACUCGAACAACUCUGUAUGGUUAUUUCCUGUCAAAUAUUUUGCAUUACUUAUCACAUACGGAAACUAACACAUAUGCCUUUGAGAUGUUUUACUUUGUAGAUAAUAGAAAUUACUCGUGUUGAUAUAAGCUGGAAGAACAUCCCUACUUCAUCCGAUCGAAAGCGCACAAAAUCUCAUCCCCUGACCAUCAUUCAAAAAUGACAGGAAAUGACGAGGAAAGUGCCCUGACUAUUCGGGACAAUGUGAUAGCGGAACAGAAUGAGAUGAUUGCAGAACUUGCAAGAAAGUUAGAAAUGCUUUAGGAAAAAGUAAAUUGCACUCGGGAUUUGGCUAACUUGGCCAUCACCAUCAAUUCCCCCGCUCCAGAGGGACAUGGGACUCCACUCCAAAUCUAUCCCCUCAGUACACCUACUCUUGGGGAUCAGCCGAAUAACAUAUCAUCCAUCUCCGCUCCUCCAUUUGUACAAAAUACUAAUUGUGAAAAUAACUCAGACGCCUAUAAUCCACAAAAUAUGUUAAACCUACCUUUGAAUCCACCAAAUUCAUUUCCAAAUCCGCAAAAUCCUUCUCAAAUUCCGCCAAACUACUCGCAAAGUCCGCAGAGCCUUUCCAAUUUCCAAAACGUCCUUCCCACUUACCAAACAAAUUCCUUUCAUCCACAAAAUCAAGCCUCCCUCCAAAUCCCCUUCAAGUUAUUAUAUCCCCUUACACCUAUAAACCCCUUCCUAAUCCUAAGAUGGACUAUUACGAGGAGAAAGAGAAAGAGUGGAGGACUGAGCAUGAAAGGAAUUUACUAGCUAUGAAGGAAGAGAUCAUGAGGAUCAAAGAGUCUCAUGGAGCCAGGGACCACGACGAUUUGGGGUAUGACGAAUUAUGUGUUGACCUGGGAGUAGACCUACCAGAUGGGUACAAACUCCCUAAGUUUAAAAUAUUUGACGAUACUGGAAACCCAAUGGCCCAUCUAAGAAGGUACUGUGAUCAACUGGUAGGGAUAAAGAAGAUUGAGGCAUUAUUGAUGCACCUAUUCAGCCAAGGUUUAAGCGGUGAAGCCUUGGAGUGGUUCAUGUCUCAGGAGCCAAAAAAGUGGACUGGUUGGAAAGCAUUGGCCAAGGGUUUCCUUGACCGGUUCAUAUUCAAUAUUGAAAUAGUCCCUGACCGGUAUUCACUAGAUCGGAUCAAAUAGAAGAAUGAUGAAAUUUUUUGAGACUAUACUUUUCGUUGGAUAAAAGAGGCUGCUAAAGUACAACUUCCCAUGUCUGAGGAAGAAAUGGUAUCAGUUUUCUCUCGUGUACAGGAAGGAGAAUUUUAUACUAGGAUGGUAUCCGCGGUCCGAGCAACUUUCAUAGAUUUAGUAAAUAUUGGGGAAUUAUUUGAGGAAGGCAUACGAACAGGAAAAAUUGCCAAAACCCCAACAUCAUCUGAAUCUUCUGCAUUUCCAAAGAAGAAAAGAGAGGAUGCGACUGCGGUCUCUACUAAUUCUGUUGAUAAGUUAAAGAGGAAAUUCAAGCCUAGAAAUAUUCUUUCCUCAUCAUCAUCACCAAGUUUUCAGCCUAUAUUCUACGCUCAACCCCAAUGUCAAGCUCUAAAUCCAAAUAUUUUACCCCAGUACCAAGUUCCACAACUAAAUUAUCAGACUCAUACUCAAGCUACUUUUCCAAAUAACCAAAUAAACGUCCAAACAUCUCCAAAUUAUCAUCAAGUACCUCCCCCCAUAAAUCAGAAUCAUUAUAACCCUCCACGUCCAAAACUUGAAAAGAAACCUCCCUGAAACUUCACGCUGCUAGCUGAAAGUCGUACCUGUUAUGGUCCCGAAAAAAAAUUUAAGCAUGGGAUAGAGUACCAGCCAAGAAGGAAAAAUGAGAUCGAAGAUAAUUAAAAGGAGAGUCUUUUUAGGCCUUUGCUGAUCUUGUACCAGUCAUUUCUCGUACAUGAGGUGUCAAAUGAUGAUUGGGGAUGGGAUAAAAUAUCUGUUCAAAGGAUACAAUGCUCUACCAGAUGGUUUUCCAAAGUUCGGUGGGGUAAAGAAGAUUGCAUUGUGGGAGGCCUUGCAAAACUGGACCUCCACUCCACUCAUAACCCGUCACUCAUUGCGGUAGAUGAAAGGGCAAUUACUAAUAGUUUUUAAAAUCGGUGAUGAUCCGGAGGAGGCCCCGUUAUCCACCCUUUUAGGUCUCAAAUUUUUAUUUCGUGUUUUAUAACUUUCAAAAAGGCAUGGGCCCAUAUUUGUAUGGGUCAUAAGCCAUAGUUUUUAUUUAUUUUCCAAAAGGCCUCCCUUUAUUUAAGAAGUUAAUUUUUAAGUAUGAUUAUCUAGCAUGGUUUGUUUUGGUCGCAAUAAUUUUAAAAACCUGUCAAUAUCAUGUCACAUCAAAGGUAAGGCAAACAAGGCGAAGGAAAUAAUGAUGAACAGAAAAGGUGAUGAGGAGCAGUUAGUAGUGGAUACAUAGGAAUGUGAAAAUCAAAAGAAUCCCAACCUAGAGGAGCCUUAAUACUACCCGAGAUGGAUGGUCAAGAGUGGACCAAACCAAUCGAUUCUAAUGCAGUAAAGAUAUAUCAUGCUUGAAAGAUGUUAUAGUUUUUAUUUCUGGGCUUAUUUGUAAUCACCUUUAUAAGAGUAUCAAUUUUAUGAUGUGUAAUCGCCUAGAAUCCUUUCCCUUUAUGUACGAACUACAUUUGACCUGAAUUCCCAAGAAAUGGAUACAUAGGCGGCCUAUGUCAACUUUGGUCAACCCCUUAGGAUAAUUUAUCUUUCCUCUUAUGUAUGAACUACGUGAUGACCUGAAUUCUCAAGAAUGAGAUACGUAGGCAGCCUAUGUUGGCUUCGGUCAACCCAUUAGAUUUUUCUUUGUAUACCUCUAGCGUAGGCCUGAACUACGUUUGACCUGAUUCCUACUUCAACGGGAUACGUAGGCACCCCAACAGCUUGGUCUUAUAACCCCAGGAAAGGAAAACUGGGGCAAAAUUUUCAAGAAGGAAUCUUAAAAAUUCACAAGAAAAGGUCGACAUCCAACAAAGAGAAUGAAGAUCAGUAAAGACUUCAGAUCCACUCGUAUUGAUAUCAUCUCAAACAACUUUAAACUAGGGCAGAAAUUUUAAGGAAGACCUCAAAAUUUCCACCAAAUGCCGGAACAUAUUCCUAAUUCCCCAGCACCAGAGGUUAAAGUCAAGCUUUGGAAGCCACCAACUGUAAUAAAGUUUGGGUAGACUCAAUUUUUGGCUAUGAUAGAACUACUUAAAGAAACCCUCCAACAAUGAUCAUGAGUUUUGGAAACCAUCCAUUGAAUAUAGUCAAAACCAUGAGGAAGACAUUCGUUGAGCUAGUACGUGACAUAACUGACAGAGAUUUUCUAAAGUUUUACAGAAGUUUUCAAAAAAAAUUUCAAAAAUUUAAGACUAUUUUCCAAAAAUCUUACGACUCACUUAUUUAGUAUUUGCCUAGACAUCAUUUGGUGUGGAGUAUCAGGGUGGAAGUCCCGAUAUGGUGGAAUGCCCAAGAGAAGGAAAGGAGAAAAUCAAGGAUCGAAGGAGGUCAACACGGAGUAAUUUUAUUCAAACUAAUCAUUUUUCAGUAGAUGCAGGGUUCAAUAUACAAAAUGAGGGUGUCUUUCAAAAAUCCCCAAGCAAAAUGGGAGCCACAACAGAGCAUUAAUACCCAAGAAUGGUAUUUUAGGGUAUCCCUAAAAAUAGGUUUAACGUCCAUUUAUUGAGGACCUUUUGAUUUGUCCAUCUCAUUUCUCGAGAUCAUAGGCAACAAACAAAAGCUCUUUGUCUUCUUUACACAUAUCAUAUUUAGAAGUUUCCUAAAAAUAGUCGCUAGUAAAAGUGACUUUGUGUCUACUAAUCGUCUACCUUGUGUACAGGUACACAUAGAAAGCAGGAUGCUGACAAAUGAAAUCAGGUAAAAUUACACAUUAUAGCUGCAAGGCAUUGACUCAAGGGCUAUUGUAUAUCAUCGCCACAAGGGUUAUUAUGUAUCAUCGCCACAAUGGCUAUUGCAUAUCAUCGCCACAUGGGCUAUUGCAUAUAAUCACCACAAGGGCUAUUGCAUAUCAUUGCCACAAGGGCUAUUGCAUAUAAUCAUCAUAAUGGCUAUUGUAUAUCAUCUCCACAAGGGCUAUUGCAUAUCAUCGCCACAAUGGCUAUUGCAUAUCAUAGCCACAAUGGCUAUAACAUAUCAUCGGCACAAUAGCUAUUGCAUAUCAUCGCCACAAUGGCUAUUGCAUAUCAUCGCCACAAGGGUUAUUGUAUAUCAUCGCCACAAUGGCUAUUUCAUAUCAUCGCCACAAGGGUUAUUACAUAUCAUUGCCACAAUGGCUAUUGCAUAUCAUCGCCACAAGGGCUAUUGCAUAUCAUAGCCACAAUGGCUAUUGCAUAUCAUCACCACAAUGUCUAAUGCAUAUCAUGGCCACUAUGGCUAUUGUAUAUCAUCGCCACAAUGUCUAUUGCAUAUCAUAGCCACAAUGGAUAUUGCAUAUCAUCGCCACAACAGCUAUUGCAUAUCAUCGCCACAAUGGUUAUUGCAUAUCAUCGCCAUAAUAGCUACUGCAUAUCAUCGCCAUAAUGGCUAUUGCAUAUCAUCGCCAUAAUGUCUAUUGCAUAUCAUAGCCACAAUGGAUAUUGCAUAUCAUCGCCACAACAGCUAUUGCAUAUCAUCGCCACAAUGGCUAUUGCAUAUCAUCGCCAUAAUAGCUACUGCAUAUCAUCGCCACAAUGGCUACUGCAUAUCAUCGCCACAAUGGCUAUUACAUAUCAUCGCCACAAAGGCUAUUGCAUAUUAUCGCCACAAGGGCUAUUGCAUAUCAUCGCCACAAGAGCUAUUGUAUAUCAUUGCCACAAGGGCUAUUGUAUAGUAUCACCCCAAGGGUCAUUACAUAUUAUUUCUGCAAAGACCAUCUCAUAUCAUCGCCCUAGAAGGAAUUCAAUAUCUAUUGAUAAGCUAGACAGAAAUGUUGGUGUCAAGGAUAUCUCAUCAUUUCAUGAAUCAGCAUAUGAAUGCAUCGAGGGUACAUGAUUUAAAAGAAUGCCUUUAAGUCGCUAUCUAAGGAUGAAUGAUAUAUAAGGUUUCUUAGAAAUUGACAAUUUAAGGGAUUAUCUAUAAGUCAUAUUUAUGAAAUAGGAUAGUGUGCAAGAUCACCUAUGAGCUGAUAGCCUGUAAGUCAUCCGUAAGCCACAACAACAUUCUAACCAGAUAGUGUGCAAGAUCGCCUAAAAAUUGAUAGUUCAAAGAUUAUCCAUAAGUCACAACUAAAUUCUUACCGGAGAAUAUGCAAAAUUAUCAAAUUGAUACGUCCAAGGGUUCUCUAUAAGUCACGUCAUAUCUAAGAUUGAUUAUGUGUAGGAUUACCUAAAGACUAACAAUUUGAGAGAUUAUCUAUAAGUCAUAUUAUAUCCAAGGUCGGAUGAUGUACAAGAACACCUGAAAGCUAGCGAUUGGAGGAAUAUCUGUAAGCCAUCUCUUAUCCAAAGUUGGAUAAUGUGCAGGAUUACCUAAAAGCUAGAAAUUCAAAGGAUAUCUGUAAGUCGCCUUGCAUCCAAUAUCAAAUAAUACGUAAGAUUAUCCAAAGAUUGAUAAUUUAAGGAAAAUUUAUAAAUCGAUCAUUGGCUAUAACCGGAGAGGUUAUCAUUCCACAUACAACAAGUGAUAUCGGUAACCAAAAGGUUUGCCACUCCAGCACAAGAUUACACGGUUGUAGGGACCAUUCUGUAUAAAGUAUCGAUGGUGUCCAAAAAGGCCACCCUACUUUGAAGACAGAUUCAACCGAUCAAUGUCAUAAUUAUACAACAACCAAGAGGGUUGUUGUGUUUGUUGUUUCCAGUUAUUUUAUUCCAAACAUGUACCGUAAAGAGAUGACUCCGCUUUUUAGGCCACAACUCACACGGAGAUAUGGUAAAAGACUACCUACAUCUUUCGUGAAUUAUGUUAGUACUAACAUUUUUUUCUUGAGAAAUUGUCGAGAGCAUCCGAAAGGAUGAAAAUCUUAAAUCAAAACCAUAGUUACGGACUACUCUAAAAAGGAUGCAACACGACAUGGAACUUUUUCUCAGCAGCAAAACAGGACAUAGUCUGGAGAGGGAUGUCAAAAUCUCUAGAUGGGAGCUAAAUGAUGAUCACCACCACCAUCUAACCACGCCGAUAUCAGAAGGCAUGUGGGUAUUUUUGGAUAUUCUGGUCUCACCUUUACCUCUGGGAUGUUUGUUAACUCAUACUGAGGGGAACUUUCUUUUUCUUUCAAAUUUGGGUGGCAACACACUUGGAGUUUUGGAAAUUCUGUUCGGGUAAGUUCUUACCUAUAGAUGUGAAGAGCUCCACAUUCAUGGUUAAGAGGUUAAAAGCCUCUUUUCUGCAACUCGAUUAACUUGUCACUCAUUUUGAGUCAAAGAUCAUUUGAAAUAAAAGACUAUCUUGUUUACCGAUUGAGUCGAACUACAAGCAGUCUGAUUUCUUGAAAUCUUGGGGAUAUGUAGGCUGGGAUCUAUGUAGAAAACUCUACUGCAUUCUAACCUUUUCCUCCUAAAUCCCUCUAUUCCCUAGCCUCUCGAUUUAACCAAAAACUCUAAAACCGUGAUAGUUGGUGAAUUCUCUUGAAAAUUGUGCUUAAAAUCAAGCUUUAUGAACUACAAGUGGCCUGACUUCUCAUGAAACCUGAGAUAUGUAGGAAACUUGAUACCGAGGUUCGUCCAAAACUUCAUGAAACUCGUGCAGAAAACCAAUCUCUCUUAGAUGCAAAUUUGUGGUCGGACAAAAAUUAGGAUCGCCAACCUCCCUUUGCCCAGGGUUACUUGCAUCCACCCUACCCAAAGGGAGGGGCAUUUUUUGACACCUAAUUUUUGCCCUCCAUGACUAAAUUUAGUCCUAAGUUUCUUCGACUUUUAAUAAAAUUGAAAAUAUUUAUUUCAUCCGAAUAAGAUUUUUAAAAAGUAUAUUUGUAAGUGAUUUAGUCACUUUGAGUAGCAAUUAUUUAUUAUCGUGUUCAAUUAUGCAAUAUUGUAUAAUUUGAUUACUUAAAUGUUUAUUCUAUAGAAUAUCAAAUUUUAAUUAAAGAUUAUUUUGAAAAUGAAUAUGAUAAUUAAAAUCUUGAUUUAAUUAUAAUUUAUUCUCAAAAAAAUUUAUUCGGAGAGAUAUUUGUUUGAUUUUAUGAAAUCAAGAAAACUCGGGAUUGAAUUAGUUAUUAAUUUUUUUCAAAUAUUGCUUCAAUUUAGCCAAUUUAUUUAAUAGGGACCCUAAUUAAAAUCAAUUCGGCCGUGAUUGCAAUGCAAAUGGUCAUAUGAAUUUUAUUUAGGAUAAAAAUUAAAUACAAUUGUCUAAGUUUUAUUUAUUGACCAUUUGAUAAUUGGACCAAGACCAAAAAAUGAUCAGUAGCCCAUUUUCUUUUCUCAUUAAUAUUCAGCACUUAACAACUAGCCACCAAGCCCAAUUUCACUAGAUCCGACCCGGGCCUAAUACUCUUCACCCCUUUUCUUUCUCUACAACAACAUCAAACCAUAUUAGCUUCAAAAUUAAAUGACAACAAUAUCGCAACAACACCUAACAUCAGCCAUCAACCCGAUUCCAACUAGCCCGACCCAACAAAACCCACCGUUUCUCCUCUCCCUUACUUCUAUCAUACUUCUCACGUGAGUAGCAUGUAAUUUUAUACCAUGGGAAGUCUGAGAAUCCUCUAGAAGAUGUAUAGGUGUCCUCUCAAUGGUUCAAUUCUAUAAAUCUCGGUAACAAUGGUACGAUUUCGUGCAAAUUUGGGGGAUUUUCAUUGGUUGGGGGGUACAAUUCAUUUUCCAAAUAACCUAUUGGUCCACCCUUCCCUUGAUCCAAAAAGAAAAUCCAAAAAUUGGUAUGAAUUGAGGACGAAAACGGACUGUGGGGGGGAGAUUUUUGAGGGGGAGAUUCAAAAAUCUUUCUUUCGAAUUCCCUAGAUUACCCCUAAUCCUUCUUCUAUAUAAAGACCCAUUGGGUCACUGUUUUAGGGUGGGGGGAUCUUUGAAGUCGAGAAAAUUAGGAGGGGGUCGGAAUUUUGGGGUGGUCUUUUAAAGGUUCAAAAAGAGAGAAAUCUUCUGAAGGAGGUUCUGAUUCGAAAACAGAGUAAGGAAAAUUUUUUAGAGUUUCUAAAUGUAGGUUGAAAAUUUCAGUCGAAAGUCUCAGGGGUUUCAAAGUUUCUUUAGGGGUAAAGGUAAAAGACGCUUUGUUGGUGGUCGAUGUCAUGAGAUUCUGUUAGCAAUAAGU